RNAcentral lists this ribosomal RNA (405 nucleotides) under uncultured bacterium. RNAcentral's name for it is "partial 16S ribosomal RNA". It matches the Rfam family "Bacterial small subunit ribosomal RNA", at positions 28 to 526 of the family's 1533-position model. The record is from RNAcentral.
GAUGAACGCUGGCGGCGUGCCUAAUACAUGCAAGUCGAGCGAAGCGGGGACGGGGGAGUAACACGUGGAUAACCUCCUAUAAGACUGGGAUAAAGUCGGGAAACAGGAGCUAAACCGGAUACUAAUAGAUGGAGCCGCGCUGCAUUAGCUAGUUUGUAAGGUAACGGUUUACCAAGGCAACGAUGCAUAGCCGACAUGAGAGGGUGAUCUGCCACACUGGACCUGAGCCACGGUCCAGACUCCUACGGGAGGCAGCAGUAGGGAAUCUUCCGCAAUGGGCGAAAGCCUGACGGAGCAACGCCGCGUGAGUUAUGAAGGUCUUCGGAUCUUAAGACUCUGUUAUUAGUGAAGCGGUACCUAAUCAGAAAGCCACGGCUAACUACGUGCCAGCAGCCGCGGUAAUAC